RNAcentral lists this ribosomal RNA (441 nucleotides) under uncultured bacterium. RNAcentral's name for it is "partial 16S ribosomal RNA". It matches the Rfam family "Bacterial small subunit ribosomal RNA", at positions 338 to 795 of the family's 1533-position model. The record is from RNAcentral.
CCUACGGGAGGCAGCAGUGGGGAAUAUUGCACAAUGGGGGAAACCCUGAUGCAGCGACGCCGCGUGAGCGAUGAAGUAUUUCGGUAUGUAAAGCUCUAUCAGCAGGGAAGAAAAUGACGGUACCUGACUAAGAAGCCCCGGCUAACUACGUGCCAGCAGCCGCGGUAAUACGUAGGGGGCAAGCGUUAUCCGGAUUUACUGGGUGUAAAGGGUGCGUAGGCGGCAUAAUAAGUUAGAAGUGAAAUACCCAGAGCUUAACUCGGGUGCUGCUUCUAAGACUGUUGAGCUGGAGUGCGGGAGAGGUUAAUGGAAUUCCUAGUGUAGCGGUGGAAUGCGUAGAUAUUAGGAGGAACACCAGAGGCGAAGGCGAUUAACUGGACCGUAACUGACGCUGAGGCACGAAAGUGUGGGUAGCAAACAGGAUUAGAUACCCCAGUAGUC